Molecule: ribosomal RNA, 745 nt
Filed under: uncultured archaeon
Lineage: Archaea
Description: bacterial SSU rRNA
Rfam family: Archaeal small subunit ribosomal RNA
Source: RNAcentral
GGUGAAGAACUCUGGAAUGAGUCUUUGCCAAAAAGACGUUUACGUUAUGCUCGUAGGCGUUGCCCAAGGAUGAGGCCGCGACCGAUCAGGUUGUUGGUGAGGUAAUGGCUCACCAAGCCUUUUACCGGUGCGGGCCGUGAGAGCGGGAGCCCGGAGAUGGGCACUGAGACAAGGGCCCAGGCCCUACGGGGCGCAGCAGGCGCGAAAACUUUGCAAUACACGAAAGUGUGACAGGGCUAUCCCGAGUGCCAUCCGCUGAGGAAGGCUUUUACCCAGUCUAGAACGCUGGGGGAAUAAGGAGAGGGCAAGUCUGGUGUCAGCCGCCGCGGUAAUACCAGCUCUCCGAGUGGUGUGGAUGUUUAUUGGGCCUAAAGCAUCCGUAGCUGGCUAAGUUAGUCCCUUGUUAAAUCCACCGAAUUAAUCGUUGGAUUGCGGGGGAUACUGCUUGGCUAGGGGACGAGAGAGGCAGACGGUAUUUCCGGGGUAGGGGUGAAAUCCUAUAAUCCCGGGAAGACCACCAGUGGCGAAGGCUGUCUGCUAGAACGCGCCCGACGGUGAGGGAUGAAAGCUGGGGGAGCGAACCGGAUUAGAUACCCGGGUAGUCCUAGCCGUAAACGAUACUCGCUAGGUGUCGGCCACGGUGCGACCGUUGUCGGUGCCGUAGGGAAGCCGUGAAGCGAGCCACCUGGGAAGUACGGCCGCAAGGCUGAAACUUAAAGGAAUUGGCGGGGGAGCACCACAACGG